RNAcentral lists this ribosomal RNA (503 nucleotides) under uncultured bacterium. RNAcentral describes it as "bacterial SSU rRNA". It matches the Rfam family "Bacterial small subunit ribosomal RNA", at positions 28 to 533 of the family's 1533-position model. The record is from RNAcentral.
GACGAACGCUGGCGGCGUGCCUAACACAUGCAAGUCGAACGGGGGGAACAUGAAGUAUUUCGGUACGGAAUGCGCCCCUAGUGGCGAACGGGUGAGUAACACGUGGGCAACCUGCCCCAGACUGGGGGAUAACAUUGUGAAAACAGUGCUAAUACCGCAUGACAGGGUUCCGGGCAUCCGGGACCCUUGAAAGGAGAAAUCCGGUCAGGGAUGGGCCCGCGUCCAAUUAGCUAGUUGGCGGGGUAACGGCCCACCAAGGCGACGAUUGGUAGCCGAACUGAGAGGUUGAUCGGCCACAUUGGGACUGAGACACGGCCCAGACUCCUACGGGAGGCAGCAGUGGGGAAUAUUGGGCAAUGGGCGAAAGCCUGACCCAGCGACGCCGCGUGAAGGAUGAAGGUCUUCGGAUUGUAAACUUCUUUGAUCAGGGAAGAAAGAAAUGACGGUACCUGAAAACAAGCCACGGCUAACUACGUGCCAGCAGCCGCGGUAAACGUAGCGUG